Molecule: long non-coding RNA, 891 nt
Organism: Neopsephotus bourkii (Bourke's parrot)
Lineage: Eukaryota; Metazoa; Chordata; Aves; Psittaciformes; Psittacidae
Exons: 2
Source: RefSeq, a predicted model, not a curated record
UAAGGUGAUUCUCCACUAUAAUGUCCUUGAUGAAACUGAAUAUUCUGUUUCAUGAUGUUCAUCAUUCAGGUGGCUGAAUUUGGUUCUCACUCUCCACUUGAGAAGCACCACUGAAGUUUGUCUAUACUGCAGCCCCAUCUGCCCGUGGUUCUGCAUGACUGGAAAUUUGUACUCGGGUGAAGUCAUGUUGGUAUCAAGCCUUUUCCCAGUGGAUACAACUCGGGUUGAUACUUCACGUUUCGGAAAGUCAUAGGAUCACCCCUGCAUGCAGGAAAGGCCCCAUCUUAUUGCCUCUCCUAGGCUGGUAAAACAGCAGGCACGAGUUAGUGGAUCUGGCUGUGAGGAGGGCAGGUGGAGAGCAAUGGGAAGUCUCUGCUUGCUCUUUCACAGUGAUUUGCUUCAGUUGCCAAGCUCUGUUAAAUAAGCAGCCUAUGCACCAAGCAGGAAUUUCACUUGUACAAGGAGGCUUUUCUUUGAACCUUUCCAGGUGGGAAUGUUUUCUAGCACAAGGCUCUUAUUUAAUGCUCACACUGCCCAAAGGCCACAGUCAGCACCUCUGUGCAAACUUCAGAAGACAUAAUCCCUGCCUUAAACACCUCAUGGUCUGAGCCCGCAGCAGUGCCUGAUGUGGAGCGGACUGAGCCUAGCGAAUACCACCAACGUGACAGGUGCCUGUCUUGCUAGGUCCAGUCAUUUCCUUUAUUAAUUCAGUGAAUUUAUGUAUUUACUUUGGGUCUCUGUUGUGUGGCAGGGAAAGGACAGGAGGCUGGAAGCAUGAAGAGUGACAUGGAACAGGAGAGCACUGCAGUGGAAGACAGAAAAUGAGGACCAAGCCUCAUGGAGCAAAAAACAUUCUGCCAAGAAAAUAAAGACUCUAUUAGUUUUCUAGUU